This 443-nucleotide ribosomal RNA is filed under the name uncultured bacterium. Its description in RNAcentral is "partial 16S ribosomal RNA". It matches the Rfam family "Bacterial small subunit ribosomal RNA", at positions 338 to 795 of the family's 1533-position model. The record is from RNAcentral.
CCUACGGGUGGCAGCAGUGGGGAAUAUUGGGCAAUGGAGGAAACUCUGACCCAGCAACGCCGCGUGAAUGAUGAAGGUCUUCGGAUUGUAAAGUUCUUUUCUAAGGGAAGAAGAAAGUGACGGUACCUUAGUAAUAAGCCUCGGCUAACUACGUGCCAGCAGCCGCGGUAAUACGUAGGAGGCGAGCGUUAUCCGGAAUGACUGGGCGUAAAGGGUGCGUAGGUGGUUUGGCAAGUUAGUUGUGAAAGUUUGUGGCUCAACCGUAAAAUUGCAGUUGAAACUGGUAGUCUUGAGUACAGUAGAGGUGGGCGGAAUUCGUGGUGUAGCGGUGAAAUGCUUAGAUAUCACGAAGAACUCCGAUUGCGAAGGCAGCUCACUGGACUGCAACUGACACUGAUGCUCGAAAGUGUGGGUAUCAAACAGGAUUAGAUACCCGAGUAGUC